GGUCCGUUAGCUCAGUCAGCAGAGCGUGGUGCUAAUAACGCUAAGGUCAUGGGUUCGAGCCCCAUAUGGACCA
Molecule: transfer RNA, 73 nt
Filed under: Actinia tenebrosa (Australian red waratah sea anemone)
Lineage: Eukaryota; Metazoa; Cnidaria; Anthozoa; Actiniaria; Actiniidae
Description: tRNA-Ile
Rfam family: tRNA
About the family: Transfer RNA (tRNA) molecules are approximately 80 nucleotides in length. Their secondary structure includes four short double-helical elements and three loops (D, anti-codon, and T loops). Further hydrogen bonds mediate the characteristic L-shaped molecular structure. tRNAs have two regions of fundamental functional importance: the anti-codon, which is responsible for specific mRNA codon recognition, and the 3' end, to which the tRNAs corresponding amino acid is attached (by aminoacyl-tRNA synthetases). tRNAs cope with the degeneracy of the genetic code in two manners: having more than one tRNA (with a specific anti-codon) for a particular amino acid; and 'wobble' base-pairing, i.e. permitting non-standard base-pairing at the 3rd anti-codon position.
Source: Rfam by way of RNAcentral